AGGAUAGUAGUUAAAUAUAACAUUUGGGUUGCAUUCAAAAAGUAUUGAUAAUAAUCAAUCUAUCUU
RNAcentral lists this transfer RNA (66 nucleotides) under Ceriagrion fallax. RNAcentral describes it as "tRNA-Ala". It matches the Rfam family "tRNA". From Rfam's summary of the family: Transfer RNA (tRNA) molecules are approximately 80 nucleotides in length. Their secondary structure includes four short double-helical elements and three loops (D, anti-codon, and T loops). Lineage: Eukaryota; Metazoa; Arthropoda; Insecta; Odonata; Coenagrionidae. The record is from RNAcentral.